CCGUCGGCUAAUAUGAAAUGAUACUACUACAUUCCGUGGAUGUUUAUCAACAUAUAAAUGUGUUAUGGACUAAAUAUUUCACUGAAUUGGAUAGUCUGGACCCUUUACAGUGUAACUACACCAUUUUUGUUGGAAUGUAAUGAACUAGUGGACUAACAAGAGGCUUCAUAGUAUCCUCUGUUCGCAGAC
This is a long non-coding RNA of Sinocyclocheilus anshuiensis, 189 nucleotides long. RefSeq lists it as uncharacterized. The record is from RefSeq and is a predicted model, not a curated record. The transcript is spliced from 3 exons. NCBI's taxonomy places the organism in Eukaryota, Metazoa, Chordata, Actinopteri, Cypriniformes, Cyprinidae.